This 73-nucleotide transfer RNA is filed under the name Pteropus alecto (black flying fox). It matches the Rfam family "tRNA". Rfam says of the family: Transfer RNA (tRNA) molecules are approximately 80 nucleotides in length. Their secondary structure includes four short double-helical elements and three loops (D, anti-codon, and T loops). The record is from Rfam by way of RNAcentral. Lineage: Eukaryota; Metazoa; Chordata; Mammalia; Chiroptera; Pteropodidae. RNAcentral also lists the same sequence under 1 other name.
GGUUCCAUAGUGUAGCAGUUAGCACGUCUGCUUUACAUGCAGAAGGUCCUGGGUUCGUGCCCCAGUGGAGCCA